Lolium perenne is the source of this 3262-nucleotide long non-coding RNA. RefSeq lists it as uncharacterized. NCBI's taxonomy places the organism in Eukaryota, Viridiplantae, Streptophyta, Magnoliopsida, Poales, Poaceae. The record is from RefSeq and is a predicted model, not a curated record.
CCACCUUCCCUAUCAGCUCAACUCCCGUCCCCUGUUUCAAAAAAAAAAAAACUCAACUCCCGUCCCCAACUCGCUGCCCUACCCCAACUCCCGUCCAACCUUCUUCCCCGGCGGCAACCGCGGAGAAUCCCCGCCCAGCCUCCUUCCCCGCGGCGGCAGCGGCGAAUCCCCACCCAGCCUCCUUCCCCGCGGCGGCAGCGGCGAAUCCCCGCCCAGCCUUCUACCCCGCGGCGGCGGCGAAUCCCCGCCCAGCCUUCUUCCCCGCGGCGGCGGCGGCGAAUCCCCGCCCAGCCUUCUUCCCUGGCGGCGGCGGCGAAUCCCCGCGCCGCGUCCUUCAUGGCGGUAGCACUGCAUCUUUGUGCCGCCUUCUUCGCCGGCGGAACCAUCUCAUCUCCGCUCCACCACCUUGCUCGGCUGCCACGACAUCACCCGGCGACCUCCUUCAUUUCCAUGGCUGCAACGCUCACCCGCUACAAGCCCCCUCACUCUCUCUCAUGGUCUACCCCGCGCCAUCCAUGGGAGUUCAUAGAUCGUCGCUGUGGGUGUCCAUCGGCGCCGCCCCGUGCUUCCCCCUGAGUGUAGCGGCGGCCUCGCCGAAAUUCGUCGAGCGUGGGAGAGUGGUCUGACCAGAAACCCUGGAUUCCCCUCCUCGGUGGCCACAUGGUUGGUCCCUGAUUUAGUAUUCUCGCUGGCGUCAAUGGGUUAUGCGGUUGCAUCGUUGAGCCCAUCUUACCAUCGAUCCCCAUGAGUAUGUACUCACAUAUCUGAUUACUUGAUAAAGCACAAGCCAAGGAUUAUGCACGAGUGUUACUGCUGCUAGUAUCUGUUAGCUUUUUUUUCUAGUGGAUCAUAACGGGUUCUGAUUACAACAUGCUAGUCUGGUUAGUUAAUAUACUUGCUGGCUUAUGAGUUGAUGUAUUUCUUUGUUGAUUGUAUCUAUUGUAUAUGUAUUUAGUUACUGCGUGGAAGUUCAUUUGUUCACAUGUGUAUUCACUUUUCGGAUUGGUUUUAGCUAGAAUAGCGGGUGAUGGUGCACUGCUUCCGAACUUCUGCUACUGUAUCUGAGACAGUUUCUACAGAUUGUCUUUUCUUAAUUUAUUUGGAAAAUGUUCACUUUUCAGUGUCAGAAAGUUCAUUCGUUGUUUCUUGGAUGAUAAAUUUUUGCACAAACAUUACAGGAAAUAGAUGUAUUUGUUGUUGAUGUGUGGAUAAUAGGAACAUAUCUCAAGUUCACUUUUCCUAUUGAUGGAAGUGCAGUUUUAUAUUUGCAUGAUUUCGAGGAGCACCAGGCCAUUCUCCUGGCCGUUGGAGUACUUAAAAGUUCAGAUGUGAGACCCCCCAACAUCCAAGGACAGUACUACGACGGUACUCCAAGACUGGCCCGAUCCCGGAGAUGUUACAUAUCCUUCUUGAUUUUCAUAUUGUUGUUGUUCAGAUUGACACUCUGGGGGUGCAUUUGUUAUAAAAUAUUUUGCUUCAUUCAUUUGAUGUUGGGCUCAUAUGUAGUUCAAACGGAGAGAUUUUCAGUCAUACUUCUAGUUUCCAGAUGUUAGAUGAAUGUCUCAUAUGCUUGCAUCAUUCACUGGUUUAUUAUAGCAUUGCAUUGCAAUACUGGGUACGUUCGCCUUUUUUUUCUGGGAUUUUGCAUUGUCCAUUAUUUUUUGGCAAGUUCACAUCGCCACCGCGUUGAAGUUCACUUUCUCUCUGUCUGAAAGUUCAGCUUUUUGGGCAAGUUCAGAUCGUCCACAUAUGAGUUCAAGAUUUAUUAUAUGUACCAGCAGUAUAAAAUACAUAUGUUAAAAUUUCACUUUCGAUGAUGGCCUGGUUAUCUUAUCAUUAUUCAGUAGUGGUAUAGAAAGCUCUCCACGUUUCUUUCUUGAUGCACAAAUAUACAAUAGAAUAUGCUAUAGAAAGCUCCCUGCAUAUUUUUCAUCAGAAUAUCCGUAUUGCACAAGAAAGAAGAAGGCAUAGUUCAAUUGUAAACUUCUGAUGUACUUCAAUUCAUUUUUGUAGUUAGUUCGGUUCUUCAGCCAUUUUUAGUUCUCUUCAAUAGUCGCUGUUCUCUUCAUUAGUUCCGACAGUUCGCGUUCCUUAACACGGAAGUGCACUUGGUGUAUGUAUAAACUUUUUAUUUCUUAGUUUGUCUCCCAACAAGCAUUUGCAUGCCAUUGCUUCAUACAACCCUUUCAUCCAUGUAUGUAUAAACUAGUCUGUUAGUAAAACCAAGUGCAUAUACGAAUGUAUAUAAUGGUAUGAAGCGAUGAUGGACACUGAAUGUGUGAAACAGAGCAGUGUACACCCACUUUGUUUUGACCUAGAAUAGAAGUUCUAUUUACUGUAAAAAAAGUGGAAAAAUAGGAAGUUCACUAGCUAAGCUACAGCGGUUCUUUAUUUGAGAAGUUUGUGAAGCUCAAUUCUAUUAAUUUGCGAAGUUCACAUUUACUACUAUUUUCAUUUUUUUCUCGCCUAGGAGUUCAACUAUUCAUUUAUAUGUUGAUGUAUGUCUGACAACAUGUUACUUCUACAAUUAAAAAAAUUCAGGAGGUUCGCCUUUUUUCCUGUCCUAAAGUUCAUUCUCUGUUGGCAGGAAGUUAGUUUGCGUUUGUGCAAAUAGUCGAGCAGCUACAGGAUGCCGACGAUAUUCUCUCAGGAGCAUUGCCAGGACGAGUGCAGACCUUUGGGGUUGCUCCCGAUGGCAAGCAUAUCUGGUAUCUUCCCGAAUAAGUGUAUGAAAAUGAAGACACUUAGCGUUUGUUCAGUUUGGUAUCGUGUGUCUCCGCCACAUGGUGAAGUGAAUACAGAUUGGAAGUUCAUUGAAACAUUUUCCGGAAGCUCACUAAUUAUUUGCGCAAGUAGUUCAGUUUUACCAACAAAUAAAAGAGAAAAAUUCACGGAAAAAAUUAAGAGAUGCACCAUCUACUUCUAAACAUAUGUCCAGAGCAUGGCAGUCCACUACACUCUCUCCUGGAGUCCACUGCUUACAGCCGUGCGUACAGCGGUAGUCCAGUGCGUGAGGCUGGAGAGUCCACCGGUGCGUUAUGCCGGGAGUCCAAUGGACCAGUGUCCGGAGUCCACCUCAUGCGCGCACGUUUGGAUGCUCAGGAAUGAGGCAGUGCUUUUGUGUCCCGUUGCUGAUGAUUAUUUCAUUUCUACAGCUUGUGAUGUUCACUUCUUUUCUGAGAAAAUAUCACUUUGUAAUCACAGAAAGUUAACUGUAACAAAUUAUGCAGUAUAAUUGGCAUGAAUAUUGGUUUCCCUGCCC